MGGAGGGCAGAUGCCGGGUGACGGCAUUGCUGUGCCGGAAUACGUAACGCGUGUAAAUGUUAAGCUCCGGCUGUGCAAUACCUCUCUUUUCCUAAUUACUAGGCCUUUCCUUGUCAAGCGCGCUGUUGGUYUUACAGUGAAGUAAGCGCGCAGAGCUCGGUUCAGUAGGAGAACUGUGUCUGACAAAUGGGAGGUUUCCGCUGCGGAAGAGCUCGCCGCCGGGAGCACGUGCACGGACAGCGCCGACAGCCACAAAAGAACUCAGGAGUGGGAUAUAACUGCCAGAUGAUGACUCCCUGCCUCCCCCACAUCCAUUUUUUGUACCAUUWUUCCUACCAUUUUUCAUUGUAUGUGCUGCCUAUACUUUCAUACCCUGUGAUGACAAAACAAACUGACCUCAGCAGGUUGCCAGCUCUGGAAGAGUGCUUCACAGUCCRUUGCCUGACUGACUAGAGAGGAAUUUAUGCCAUGGAGUCCUUGAUUACCAGCCUGUCUGCACAGAGCAACAGCCUCUUGAUGCUGGGGGCAUAGAAGUUCGGUGCUCUGGAUGGAUGUUGCAGAGAAGAAUCAGAAGAACUAUUUAAAGAGGGACCAUUCCUAUGAAGAGAGGCARGUCCACAACCAUGGAGAGACGGUGGGAAGGAAUCUCACUGAACUUGAAGUGAUGAUUGUUCCUUUGUUUCAAGAGGGGAAGUCACACUACGUGAUGAGGAGGAAGGAGGAAAGGGAUAACCUCUAGACUUCUUCCACCCACCUGACCCCAUCAGCAGGUUUUUUCUACUUUCCUUUUUGGAAAACAUCUGUGAUUUAAAAAAGAAAAAACAACACACCAAACUUCUCAUCUAACCACCACCUACUUUCUUGCUGGUGUGCCUUUCUAGGGCUUAAGCUAGCAGUGCAGCUGAAGGCUUGGUGGAGCUCUGUGUGAACUUGGCAGUUAGGAAGGCUGAACUGCAGAAGCAUCCAGACAGGAGUCUGCUUGGGAGAGUUUACCGGAUGGACCAGAGAUCAUGUCCAGACUCUGCCCAGGCCACCCUAGGACUCUUYACAAAGGCCGGGGCUAUCCAGAGAAGAGAACUGAGCAAAGAGGUGACAAGAGUGGGCAAAGAGAAUGAAAAUACAGAUGGUAAAUGUUUSAAUUAGUUGCUGCAUUCUGUAUAUGCACAGGACAUUGAGCAUCCUUUUAUUUCAGCCAUACAAAUAACUCUGCAGUCUUCUGAUGACAUGAUGUAUUGUCAUAUAAUUGCAUAGCUAAUUUGACAGCAAGAAUAAGUUAAUACCUUAAUGUAAGUGGUCUGCAAGUUACACUAGUCUUCCACAUUGUAUUUCCCUCAGUUAAGCUGCCAGGUAGCCUGUAAACAACUUUUGUAAGCAACUUGUGAUGAUAAUGGUGUAAUUAUUCUCUGGCAAAUCUUGAACCUCAGAUAGAGAAAGCCCAGCUCUCUUGUGCCRUAGCUAGAAAUGGUCACUACUCUGUUCUGUUUCAGCAGGUGGAGAAAUUCACCAGUCUCAAUGAAAGGAAGGGAAAUACUAGGAAAACUGUAAAACAAGACUGUUCCAGAUUAAGAAAUCCUUUGUUUUAUUGUGAAUUCAAACAUAUGCCUAUUUUUCUUAGGAAACUGAGCUGACCUACAACAGUUUCAAAUACARUGUGUUAUCUUCUAAGGGAGGAAGAUGGCUUUCAUGUCCAAAGCAAGCACCAUUUCACAACCACCUCCCAUAAUAGCAUUGCUUAUAACCAACACUUAGUAGCCUUUCCCAUCUCUAAUUUUGAAAGUACUUUUCAAAGCUAGGUAAAGUCAUUAACUCUCUUCUGUAGAUGGAGAAGCAGACAAAGGUGUAGUAGAGACAGUGAAUCACCCAGCCUCUAGUUCCAGUUAACAAGACUAGAAACAGUAGCAUAAGAAAACUCUGGCAAAAUAAUAAUYCAGCUCAGAAUUACAGUAAAUGAAAGUGCAGUUCAUGAGCUCUUCUCAAACUAAGCUGCCUAAUCCCCCAGUCAGGUGACAGUACACUAUUCACUCUUGCAGUUUGAGUCAUGGGUACAGAUUGCACCCACCAAAGGAACCUCCUUCAAAAUCUUUACCAUGCUCUCUGAUAAACCAGGUGGAGGCUGGAGGCUUACUGAAAUUAAAGGAUGAAGAUUUGGCUUUGUUGUUGAAAUUAAGUUUUGAGCAGAGCAGCCUUAACAAAAGAUCCUACUCCAAAGCUAGUCUGCAUGUAGGAGUGUGGAAUUGUAGAUGACAGAGUGAAGACAUAUCAACGUUGGCAGGAGAAAGCAGACUUGAGGUACCUCUAAUUAUGUUAACCCUCCACAKGCAAACUCAGGAUCCUCAGCAUCUGGCUCUCCUGAGCUGGCAGGACACACACUGCCCAAGUGCUAAGUAGUCUAGCUCUCCUAGCCCAGGUUCAGGGCUUACUAGGUAAAACACAGCGUGAAGCUAGUGCAUCGAGCUGCAAGAGCGCUGGGGCGGCUCUGGGGAUAGAGCAUCUCUGAAGCGAUCCCUUUGCAGUACGCCGGAUUCUCAGGGCUCCGGGCAGUGUGCUCCAGAAUGAGGGAACGGGUUUAUGAGUUGGAGUUCUGUUCUGUUUGACCCCAGAGAAAUACUUGACCUCAGUUAUCUCAGUUUACUAAAGUGUAGGGUAGAUUUUACUGUAACCACUUACAGCAUUUCACCUGGAUAGUUUAAGUGAUACAUAAAGCAACAGAUAUUCCAGAAGGUUUUUUUUUUUUUUUUUUUUAAGUAUAAUCCUGCCUUUUGAUAUAGGUUGGCUCAAACUUCAAAAACCAAGCUCUGGGAAACUGGACCUUUACCCUGCUUGCAGGCUUCAUGAAUGUAUCCUGUCUGUUGAAGGCCUGAAUCCUUUUAGCAUGUAUCAGCAUGCUUUUUGUCUAAAUAYUGCCUUCUGCACAAAUCUCAAGAACAUGUUAGUUAGAGCAUGGUAGUUUUAGGCUGUAUCAAGAUGAAYUUGGUGCUUUCAAUCUAUUAUAAUGUUUGAUCUUUCUGACCCCAAAUCAAAGCUAUUUUCUAAAGCAUUACCAUGGUGAUGCACAAUGCAGUGUAUUGUCUGUCAGUGCCAGUACUCUUAAAGCUUUGUUUAAAUGCUUUUGGGCUGAAUAAAAAUAUGUAUGUGAAAUAAUAGUGUAUUAUG
This is a long non-coding RNA of Dromaius novaehollandiae (emu), 3153 nucleotides long. The record is from Ensembl. Lineage: Eukaryota; Metazoa; Chordata; Aves; Casuariiformes; Dromaiidae.